ACAUGCGUCAUGUGUGGAGU
Molecule: non-coding RNA, 20 nt
Filed under: Arabidopsis thaliana (thale cress)
Lineage: Eukaryota; Viridiplantae; Streptophyta; Magnoliopsida; Brassicales; Brassicaceae
Source: RNAcentral